GACGAACGCUGGCGGCGUGCUUAACACAUUCAAGUCGAACGGAAAGGCCCUGCUGUUGUGUUGUGCUCGAGUGGCGAACGGGUGAGUAACACGUGAGUAACCUGCCCUUGACUUUGGGAUAACUUCAGGAAACUGGGGCUAAUACCGGAUAGGAGCUCCUGCUGCCUGGUGGGGGUGGGAAAGUUUCGGCGGUUGGGGAUGCACUCGCGGCUUAUCAGCUUGUUGGUGGGGUAGUGGCUUACCAAGGCUUUGACGGGUAGCCGGCCUGAGAGGGUGACCGGCCACAUUAGCACUGAGGUCCGGCACAGACUCCUACGGGAGGCAGAAGUGGGAGAUUUUCCACGAUGGGCGGAAACCUGAUGCAGCAACGCCGCGUGCGGGAUGACGACCUUCCGGUUGUAAACCGCUUUCGCCUGGGACGAAGCGUGAGUGACGGUAAUGGGUAAAGAAGCACCGGCUAACUACGUG
This 468-nucleotide ribosomal RNA is filed under the name uncultured bacterium. Its description in RNAcentral is "partial 16S ribosomal RNA". It matches the Rfam family "Bacterial small subunit ribosomal RNA", at positions 28 to 507 of the family's 1533-position model. The record is from RNAcentral.